AUCAACUGUAAUAGCGAUAAUUGGGUGGUCGACGAUUUGGGUUUUACCCCAGAUGUUCAAUGAGCUUUUGCCUACAAUGCCUUGGAACUCUCUCAUGGAUAGGAUGAUGAGGGAGCUUCACUCUCAGGGGAUUUCUUUUGGACAGAUAGAAGAA
Telopea speciosissima is the source of this 154-nucleotide long non-coding RNA. RefSeq lists it as uncharacterized. NCBI's taxonomy places the organism in Eukaryota, Viridiplantae, Streptophyta, Magnoliopsida, Proteales, Proteaceae. The record is from RefSeq and is a predicted model, not a curated record. The transcript has 3 exons.